UCAAACGACGAUCCACUACUUAAUAAUUUCGUUUAAAAAAUAUUAACUUUAAUUGUUAGGAUAAUUUAUUUUAUUCAUUUAUAAUCCUUUUAAAAAUAUAUGCUUCCCGGUCAAUAUGGGGAGCCAAACGCAAUAUGAAUAAAUUAUAAAAUCAAUGGUUACAUGAUAACAACCAGUUCAACAGUUUUCACAUCAAGACUCAUAAUUUAGAGUAUUCCCACUAUUUGCCAAAAAAAAAACCCUCGGAUAAAAUUUCAAUUCUUCUCGUCCUUUAAUUCAAAAAACUCAAAGAAAAAGUUUUAUUUGUAUUACAAAUACAAAAUAUAAUAUACUAUAUUUCAAACUAAAUGUUUUCA
Molecule: long non-coding RNA, 356 nt
Filed under: Salvia miltiorrhiza (redroot sage)
Lineage: Eukaryota; Viridiplantae; Streptophyta; Magnoliopsida; Lamiales; Lamiaceae
Description: long non-coding RNA (SMIL_LNC000007)
Source: RNAcentral